GAUGAUGGAUAAUAUGGGAUGUGAAUCUCUGCAUCCCAAGAGGGACAGCAGUGAAAAUGCAAAGGAAGUUGGGACCAGAUCCUGAAAGGAAAGGUUGAAUUUUCUGUUUAGUCUAGACAAAUACCAAUUAAGAAUUGAUCUGACAGUCAUAUCCAAAUCUUCAAGGAGCUGCCACAAAGAUAAAACCAGUUUGUUUUUCUGCUGCUUCCAGAGCCAAGAACAAGUUGACCCCUUGUGCUGUCUUCUACCUCCUGAAGGAGAAAGUCGUCAACAAGGUGAGUUAGGAAUUUCCUGGAAGCCCUGUGCUUGGCAGAGUUUGUCUCCCAACAGACAUAGGGUGAUUGCUGUGACUUCAUGCCCCUUUGAAAGAUCUGCAGUUUGCUUUUGGAAGGCAUCAUCCACGUCUUCUUCCUUGAGAGAGU
This is a non-coding RNA of Python bivittatus (Burmese python), 422 nucleotides long. NCBI's taxonomy places the organism in Eukaryota, Metazoa, Chordata, Lepidosauria, Squamata, Pythonidae. The record is from RefSeq and is a predicted model, not a curated record.